AUGCUCGCUUUGGCAGUACAUAUACUAAAACUGGAACGAUACAGAGACGAUUAGCAUGGCCCCUGCGCAAGGAUGACACGCAAAUUUGUGAAGUGUUCCAUAUUUUA
This 107-nucleotide small nuclear RNA is filed under the name Prolemur simus (greater bamboo lemur). Lineage: Eukaryota; Metazoa; Chordata; Mammalia; Primates; Lemuridae. The record is from RNAcentral.